GUGCUCACUUUGGCAGCACAUAUACUAAAAUUAGAAUGAUACAGAGAAGAUUAGCAUGGCCCCUGCUCAAGGAUGACAUACAAAUUCAUGAAGUGUUCCAUAUUAAA
This 107-nucleotide small nuclear RNA is filed under the name Spermophilus dauricus (Daurian ground squirrel). Lineage: Eukaryota; Metazoa; Chordata; Mammalia; Rodentia; Sciuridae. The record is from RNAcentral.